This 1208-nucleotide unclassified non-coding RNA is filed under the name Leishmania donovani. Its description in RNAcentral is "gene:LdHU3.19.0130(CDS-product:Der1-like_family_p utative)". Lineage: Eukaryota; Euglenozoa; Kinetoplastea; Trypanosomatida; Trypanosomatidae. The record is from RNAcentral.
GAACUACAUAAACACACCAAAAAAAACCCAGUACGAUACCUACGUAUAGACACAGCGAAUCAAGAGUCAUCGUCAUGUCGCAGAACUUUGGCGACUGGUUCAAUCAGCUGGGCCUUGUCACCCGUGCUUCUCUCGUCGCGUCUGUGGGCCUGUCCGCCGCCUGCUCCCUCAACGUGGUGGGUGUCGGCUCGGUUAUCCUCACCUCCGAAGCCAUCACCUCGCUGCAGGUGUGGCGCUUCGUAACAGCUGCCUUCUACCUCGGCAAUUUCUCUUUCCCGUGGCUCAUGACGGUUGCCAUGUUUGUCACGUACGUCAAGAACAACGAGGAGAGCGACUUCAAAGGCAAGACGGCAGACAUGACGUACAUGUUUCUGCUGCUGGUGGGCGCCCUCUCCUCUGCCGGCCUAUUUUUUAACGUGUACGUGACGAGUUUCUCGUUCCUAAUGGCGCUGUGCUGGAUUUUUUGCAAGCGACACCCCGAGCAGGAGCUGACGCUCUUUGGAUUCUCCUUCCGCUCGGCUGUGUUUCCGUGGGUGUUGAUGGCACUGCACCUCGUCAUGGGGCAGGGGCUGCUUGCUGAUAUUCUUGGCAUAGUGGCCGGACACGCCUACGUAUUCUUCAAGGAUGUUUUUCCAGUCUCACACAAUCAGCGGUGGCUGGAGACUCCGAUGUGGCUGCGGCGCCAGUUCACGCAGCCGACGCACCGCGUCGCCUCCUUUGGCCCUGAGAUGCACCCGUACGACCCUCGCUUUCAGGCGGCAUGGCGGGGCGAAGCUCGGCAGAGGAGCAGCGGCUUGCACAACUGGGGACGCGGCCAGACGCUCGGUAGCAGCUGAAGUACCGGCGCUAGUUUCCUGAAGUCACCCAUGCAGCGGCUGCGAUUCCCCGCUCCGAAGCUGAAGAGCGCUUGCAGCCCUUUGCUACUUCUGUCUCUGCUUUGUUGCACGGGGACAGGGGCCCAACCCCGUGGACACACCGUAUGAACGGGUCGGAGUGUGUGUGCUUCCCCGAUUCCCCGUCCUCGAUCUCUUCUUCUCUGUUUGUUCGUCUGUUUCUGUGGGUGUGUGGGCUCCUCUCUCGCGGGCGUGCGUGCUGACGACGUGCGCGUUUGGGCGUUGCCGCGUACGAUGCGUGUGUCUUUGAUUGGUUGUCAUGGCCGGCGUUUUUCGCUCUCGCUCUUGUCCGCUGAACCUCGAUCGGAGAGAAAG